This 412-nucleotide ribosomal RNA is filed under the name uncultured bacterium. RNAcentral describes it as "bacterial SSU rRNA". It matches the Rfam family "Bacterial small subunit ribosomal RNA", at positions 945 to 1359 of the family's 1533-position model. The record is from RNAcentral.
UUUAAUUCGAAGCAACGCGAAGAACCUUACCAGGUCUUGACAUCUCUUGCAUAUCUUAGAGAUAAGAGAAACCCUUCGGGGCAAGAAGACAGGUGGUGCAUGGUUGUCGUCAGCUCGUGUCGUGAGAUGUUGGGUUAAGUCCCGCAACGAGCGCAACCCUUAUAACUAGUUGCCAGCAUUCAGAUGGGGACUCUAGUUAGACUGCCGGUGACAAACCGGAGGAAGGUGGGGAUGACGUCAAAUCAUCAUGCCCCUUAUGACCUGGGCUACACACGUGCUACAAUGGAUGGUACAACGAGUCGCUAACUCGCAAGAGCAUGCCAAUCUCUAAAAGCCAUUCUCAGUUCGGAUUGUAGUCUGCAACUCGACUACAUGAAGCCGGAAUCGCUAGUAAUCGCGGAUCAGCACGCCG